RNAcentral lists this ribosomal RNA (315 nucleotides) under uncultured eukaryote. RNAcentral describes it as "partial large subunit ribosomal RNA". It matches the Rfam family "Eukaryotic large subunit ribosomal RNA", at positions 40 to 350 of the family's 3401-position model. The record is from RNAcentral.
AUAUUAAUAAGCGCAGGAAAAGAAACUAACUAGGAUGCCCCCAGUAACGGCGAGUGAAGCGGGCACAGCUCAUGGCGUUAAUCUCCAUGGUACACACCAUGGCGAAUUGUACCCUGCAGACGGCACGUCAGGCGUGGCAAGUGUAAAAGUCUCCUGGAAAGGGGCAUCGUAGAGGGUGACAAUCCCGUUCACGACACUCGGCCCGCGCCGUACGACUGCCGAUCCUAGAGUCGCUUGCUUGGGAAUGCAAGCCAAAGUAGGUCGUACACACGAUCCAAGGCUAAAUAUCAACGAGAGACCGAUAGCGCACAAGUA